This 113-nucleotide small RNA is filed under the name Priestia koreensis. RNAcentral describes it as "Bacillus koreensis BsrF". It matches the Rfam family "BsrF". Lineage: Bacteria; Bacillati; Bacillota; Bacilli; Caryophanales; Bacillaceae. The record is from Rfam by way of RNAcentral.
GCGAUGAGCUAAUUCGUGUAAGACGGACGAUAUUCCUUCGGGAUAAACGUGUGAAUGUGGUCACACGGUCUCCGCCUCGAACGCAUCAAAGACGUCUGUCACGUACAGGCGUC